This 74-nucleotide transfer RNA is filed under the name Thermoplasmatota archaeon. Its description in RNAcentral is "tRNA-Lys". It matches the Rfam family "tRNA". Rfam says of the family: Transfer RNA (tRNA) molecules are approximately 80 nucleotides in length. Their secondary structure includes four short double-helical elements and three loops (D, anti-codon, and T loops). Lineage: Archaea; Methanobacteriati; Thermoplasmatota. The record is from RNAcentral.
GGGCCUGUAGCUCAGCUAGGCAGAGCAUCUGGCUUUUAACCAGGUGGCCAGGGGUUCGAAUCCCCUCAGGCCCG